GACGAACGCUGGCGGCGUGCUUAACACAUGCAAGUCGAACGGUGACCCAGGGCUUGCCCUGGUGAUCAGUGGCGAACGGGUGAGUAACACGUGGGCAACCUGCCCCUGACUUCGGGGUAACUCCUCGAAAGAGGAGCUAAUACCGGAUACGACCACUUCGGACAUCCGAUGGUGGUGGAAAGUUUUUCGGUCAGGGAUGGGCCCGCGGCCUAUCAGCUAGUUGGUGGGGUAAUGGCCUACCAAGGCGACGACGGGUAGCCGGCCUGAGAGGGCGACCGGCCACACUGGGACUGAGACACGGCCCAGACUCCUACGGGAGGCAGCAGUGGGGAAUAUUGCGCAAUGGGCGAAAGCCUGACGCAGCGACGCCGCGUGAGGGAUGAAGGCCUCGGUUGGUAAACCUCUUUCAGCAGGGACGAAGCGAAAGUGACGGUACCUGCAGAGAAGCACCGGCUAACUACGUGCCAGCAGCCGCGGUAAU
Molecule: ribosomal RNA, 481 nt
Filed under: uncultured bacterium
Lineage: Bacteria
Description: bacterial SSU rRNA
Rfam family: Bacterial small subunit ribosomal RNA
Source: RNAcentral